RNAcentral lists this ribosomal RNA (548 nucleotides) under Burkholderia sp. ASS6. RNAcentral describes it as "bacterial SSU rRNA". It matches the Rfam family "Bacterial small subunit ribosomal RNA", at positions 355 to 896 of the family's 1533-position model. RNAcentral also lists the same sequence under 1 other name. Lineage: Bacteria; Pseudomonadati; Pseudomonadota; Betaproteobacteria; Burkholderiales; Burkholderiaceae. The record is from RNAcentral.
UGGGGAAUUUUGGACAAUGGGCGAAAGCCUGAUCCAGCAAUGCCGCGUGUGUGAAGAAGGCCUUCGGGUUGUAAAGCACUUUUGUCCGGAAAGAAAUCCUUGGUUCUAAUAUAGCCGGGGGAUGACGGUACCGGAAGAAUAAGCACCGGCUAACUACGUGCCAGCAGCCGCGGUAAUACGUAGGGUGCGAGCGUUAAUCGGAAUUACUGGGCGUAAAGCGUGCGCAGGCGGUUUGCUAAGACCGAUGUGAAAUCCCCGGGCUCAACCUGGGAACUGCAUUGGUGACUGGCAGGCUAGAGUAUGGCAGAGGGGGGUAGAAUUCCACGUGUAGCAGUGAAAUGCGUAGAGAUGUGGAGGAAUACCGAUGGCGAAGGCAGCCCCCUGGGCCAAUACUGACGCUCAUGCACGAAAGCGUGGGGAGCAAACAGGAUUAGAUACCCUGGUAGUCCACGCCCUAAACGAUGUCAACUAGUUGUUGGGGAUUCAUUUCCUUAGUAACGUAGCUAACGCGUGAAGUUGACCGCCUGGGGAGUACGGUCGCAAGAUUA